RNAcentral lists this ribosomal RNA (228 nucleotides) under uncultured bacterium. RNAcentral's name for it is "partial 16S ribosomal RNA". It matches the Rfam family "Bacterial small subunit ribosomal RNA", at positions 568 to 795 of the family's 1533-position model. The record is from RNAcentral.
UGCGUAGGCGGCGCGGUUAGUCGGAUGUGAAAUCGUACAGCUCAACUGUACAACUGCGUCCGAUACUGCCGUGCUUGAGGAAGGCAGAGGUGAGCGGAACUCAGGGUGGAGCGGUGAAAUGCGUUGAUAUCCUGGGGAACACCGGUGGCGAAGGCGGCUCACUGGGCCUUUUCUGACGCUGAGGCACGAAAGCUAGGGUAGCGAACAGGAUUAGAUACCCUGGUAGUC